Molecule: ribosomal RNA, 2354 nt
Filed under: Enterobacter hormaechei
Lineage: Bacteria; Pseudomonadati; Pseudomonadota; Gammaproteobacteria; Enterobacterales; Enterobacteriaceae
Description: partial 23S ribosomal RNA
Rfam family: Bacterial large subunit ribosomal RNA
Source: RNAcentral
GUGACUGCGUACCUUUUGUAUAAUGGGUCAGCGACUUAUAUUCUGUAGCAAGGUUAACCGUAUAGGGGAGCCGAAGGGAAACCGAGUCUUAACUGGGCGUUAAGUUGCAGGGUAUAGACCCGAAACCCGGUGAUCUAGCCAUGGGCAGGUUGAAGGUUGGGUAACACUAACUGGAGGACCGAACCGACUAAUGUUGAAAAAUUAGCGGAUGACCUGUGGCUGGGGGUGAAAGGCCAAUCAAACCGGGAGAUAGCUGGUUCUCCCCGAAAGCUAUUUAGGUAGCGCCUCGUGAACUCAUCUUCGGGGGUAGAGCACUGUUUCGGCUAGGGGGCCAUCCCGGCUUACCAACCCGAUGCAAACUACGAAUACCGAAGAAUGUUAUCACGGGAGACACACGGCGGGUGCUAACGUCCGUCGUGAAGAGGGAAACAACCCAGACCGCCAGCUAAGGUCCCAAAGUCAUGGUUAAGUGGGAAACGAUGUGGGAAGGCACAGACAGCCAGGAUGUUGGCUUAGAAGCAGCCAUCAUUUAAAGAAAGCGUAAUAGCUCACUGGUCGAGUCGGCCUGCGCGGAAGAUGUAACGGGGCUAAACCAUGCACCGAAGCUGCGGCAGCGACACUAUGUGUUGUUGGGUAGGGGAGCGUUCUGUAAGCCGUUGAAGGUGUGCUGUGAGGCAUGCUGGAGGUAUCAGAAGUGCGAAUGCUGACAUAAGUAACGAUAAAGCGGGUGAAAAGCCCGCUCGCCGGAAGACCAAGGGUUCCUGUCCAACGUUAAUCGGGGCAGGGUGAGUCGACCCCUAAGGCGAGGCCGAAAGGCGUAGUCGAUGGGAAACAGGUUAAUAUUCCUGUACUUGGUGUUACUGCGAAGGGGGGACGGAGAAGGCUAUGUCAGCCGGGCGACGGUUGUCCCGGUUUAAGCAUGUAGGCGGAGGUUCCAGGUAAAUCCGGUACCUUUUAACGCUGAGGUGUGAUGACGAGGCACUACGGUGCUGAAGUGAUAAAUGCCCUGCUUCCAGGAAAAGCCUCUAAGCAUCAGGUAACACGAAAUCGUACCCCAAACCGACACAGGUGGUCAGGUAGAGAAUACCAAGGCGCUUGAGAGAACUCGGGUGAAGGAACUAGGCAAAAUGGUGCCGUAACUUCGGGAGAAGGCACGCUGAUAUGUAGGUGAAGCCCCUGCGGGCGGAGCUGAAAUCAGUCGAAGAUACCAGCUGGCUGCAACUGUUUAUUAAAAACACAGCACUGUGCAAACACGAAAGUGGACGUAUACGGUGUGACGCCUGCCCGGUGCCGGAAGGUUAAUUGAUGGGGUUAGCGGCAACGCGAAGCUCUUGAUCGAAGCCCCGGUAAACGGCGGCCGUAACUAUAACGGUCCUAAGGUAGCGAAAUUCCUUGUCGGGUAAGUUCCGACCUGCACGAAUGGCGUAAUGAUGGCCAGGCUGUCUCCACCCGAGACUCAGUGAAAUUGAACUCGCUGUGAAGAUGCAGUGUACCCGCGGCAAGACGGAAAGACCCCGUGAACCUUUACUAUAGCUUGACACUGAACACUGGUCCUUGAUGUGUAGGAUAGGUGGGAGGCUUUGAAGCGUGGACGCCAGUCUGCGUGGAGCCAUCCUUGAAAUACCACCCUUUAAUGGCUGGUGUUCUAACGUAGACCCGUGAUCCGGGUUGCGGACAGUGUCUGGUGGGUAGUUUGACUGGGGCGGUCUCCUCCCAAAGAGUAACGGAGGAGCACGAAGGUUGGCUAAUCCUGGUCGGACAUCAGGAGGUUAGUGCAAUGGCAUAAGCCAGCUUGACUGCGAGCGUGACGGCGCGAGCAGGUGCGAAAGCAGGUCAUAGUGAUCCGGUGGUUCUGAAUGGAAGGGCCAUCGCUCAACGGAUAAAAGGUACUCCGGGGAUAACAGGCUGAUACCGCCCAAGAGUUCAUAUCGACGGCGGUGUUUGGCACCUCGAUGUCGGCUCAUCACAUCCUGGGGCUGAAGUAGGUCCCAAGGGUAUGGCUGUUCGCCAUUUAAAGUGGUACGCGAGCUGGGUUUAGAACGUCGUGAGACAGUUCGGUCCCUAUCUGCCGUGGGCGCUGGAGAAUUGAGGGGGGCUGCUCCUAGUACGAGAGGACCGGAGUGGACGCAUCACUGGUGUUCGGGUUGUCAUGCCAAUGGCACUGCCCGGUAGCUAAAUGCGGAAGAGAUAAGUGCUGAAAGCAUCUAAGCACGAAACUUGCCCCGAGAUGAGUUCUCCCUGAGACUUUAAGUCUCCUGAAGGAACGUUGAAGACGACGACGUUGAUAGGUCGGGUGUGUAAGCGCAGCGAUGCGUUGAGCUAACCGAUACUAAUGAACCGUGAGGCUUAACCUU